This 422-nucleotide ribosomal RNA is filed under the name uncultured bacterium. Its description in RNAcentral is "bacterial SSU rRNA". It matches the Rfam family "Bacterial small subunit ribosomal RNA", at positions 355 to 776 of the family's 1533-position model. The record is from RNAcentral.
UGAGGAAUAUUGGUCAAUGGGCGAUAGCCUGAACCAGCCAAGUCGCGUGAGGGAAGACGGUCCUAUGGAUUGUAAACCUCUUUUGCCGGGGAGCAAAGGCGCCACGCGUGGCGAGCUGAGAGUACCCGGAGAAAAAGCAUCGGCUAACUCCGUGCCAGCAGCCGCGGUAAUACGGAGGAUGCGAGCGUUAUCCGGAUUUAUUGGGUUUAAAGGGUGCGUAGGCGGUCUGUCAAGUCAGCGGUCAAAUCGAGGGGCUCAACCCCUUUCCGCCGUUGAAACUGGUGGGCUUGAGUGGGCGAGAAGUAUGCGGAAUGCGAGGUGUAGCGGUGAAAUGCAUAGAUAUCACGCAGAACUCCGAUUGCGAAGGCAGCAUACCGGCGCCCAACUGACGCUGAGGCACGAAAGCGUGGGGAUCGAACAGG